CCUACGGGUGGCAGCAGUGAGGAAUAUUGGUCAAUGGGCGGGAGGCUGAACCAGCCAAGUAGCGUGAAGGAUGACGGUCCUACGGGUUGUAAACUUCUUUUAUAAAGGAAUAAAGUGAGGCACGAGUGCCUUUUUGUGUGUACUUUAUGAAUAAGCAUCGGCUAACUCCGUGCCAGCAGCCGCGGUAAUACGGAGGAUGCGAGCGUUAUCCGGAUUUAUUGGGUUUAAAGGGUGCGUAGGGGGGGUGUUAAGUCAGUGGUGAAAGUUUGGGGCUCAACCGUAAAGUUGCAAUUGAUACUGGCUGCCUUGAGUACAGGUGAGGUAGGCGGAAUGCGCGGUGUAGCGGUGAAAUGCUUAGAUAUUACGAAGAACUCCGAUUGCGAAGGCAGCAUACCAA
This 397-nucleotide ribosomal RNA is filed under the name uncultured bacterium. Its description in RNAcentral is "partial 16S ribosomal RNA". It matches the Rfam family "Bacterial small subunit ribosomal RNA", at positions 338 to 732 of the family's 1533-position model. The record is from RNAcentral.